This 70-nucleotide transfer RNA is filed under the name Morone americana (white perch). RNAcentral's name for it is "tRNA-Ser(UCN)". It matches the Rfam family "tRNA". From Rfam's summary of the family: Transfer RNA (tRNA) molecules are approximately 80 nucleotides in length. Lineage: Eukaryota; Metazoa; Chordata; Actinopteri; Moronidae. The record is from RNAcentral.
AAGAAUGUGACAGAGAGGUAUGUGGUUGUCUUGAAUUCAACGUACGGGGGUUCAAUUCCACCUGUUCUUG